RNAcentral lists this ribosomal RNA (253 nucleotides) under uncultured bacterium. RNAcentral's name for it is "partial 16S ribosomal RNA". It matches the Rfam family "Bacterial small subunit ribosomal RNA", at positions 524 to 776 of the family's 1533-position model. The record is from RNAcentral.
UACGGAGGGUGCGAGCGUUAUCCGGAAUUACUGGGUUUAAAGGGUGCGUAGGCGGCUUUGUAAGUCAGGAGUGAAAGUUUGCGGCUCAACCGUAAACUUGCUUUUGAUACUGCAGAGCUAGAAUCAGGAUGAGGUUAGCGGAAUGUGGCAUGUAGCGGUGAAAUGCUUAGAUAUGCCAUAGAACACCAAUUGCGAAGGCAGCUGGCUAGACCUGCAUUGACGCUGAGGCACGAAAUCGUGGGGAGCGAACAGG